Molecule: long non-coding RNA, 234 nt
Filed under: Numida meleagris (helmeted guineafowl)
Lineage: Eukaryota; Metazoa; Chordata; Aves; Galliformes; Numididae
Description: lncRNA (ENSNMEG00000019222.1)
Source: RNAcentral
GGAAAUUCCCGCCUGAUGUCCCCAGCCCAUGGAGCUGUGUGAGCAGUGGGGAUGGUGGCAGAGGAAGGCACAUACUGCUGGAGCACUGAGGAUCAGAGGUACCAUCCAGCAAAGUGAAUGGAAGGACUCCCACUGAAUUGCUGAGAAUUUGAAUCAGGCCAGAAGCCAGCUUGUUUAGAACCUGGAGUCAAUGCCUGGAGUCAAUGGGAAUUUCAGCAGUGACCUCAGUGAAAG